CCCGCAACGAGCGCAACCCCCGCCGUUAGUGCCAGCGGUUCGGCCGGGCACGUCUAACGGGACUGCCCGCGAAAGCGGGAGGAAGGAGGGGACGACGGUCUGGUCAGCAUGGCCCUUACGGCCUGGGCGACACACGUGCUACAAUGCCCACUACAAAGCGAUGCCACCCGGCAACGGGGAGCUAAUCGCAAAAAGGUGGGCCCAGUUCGGAUUGGGGUCUGCAACCCGACCCCAUGAAGCCGGAAUCGCUAGUAAUCGCGGAUCAGCCAUGCCGCGGUGAAUACGUUCCCGGGCCUU
RNAcentral lists this ribosomal RNA (297 nucleotides) under uncultured Thermus sp. RNAcentral describes it as "partial 16S ribosomal RNA". It matches the Rfam family "Bacterial small subunit ribosomal RNA", at positions 1086 to 1382 of the family's 1533-position model. Lineage: Bacteria; Thermotogati; Deinococcota; Deinococci; Thermales; Thermaceae. The record is from RNAcentral.